Molecule: ribosomal RNA, 318 nt
Filed under: uncultured bacterium
Lineage: Bacteria
Description: bacterial SSU rRNA
Rfam family: Bacterial small subunit ribosomal RNA
Source: RNAcentral
UGUCUGGGAAACUGCCUGAUGGAGGGGGAUAACUACUGGAAACGGUAGCUAAUACCGCAUAACGUCGCAAGACCAAAGAGGGGGACCUUCGGGCCUCUUGCCAUCGGAUGUGCCCAGAUGGGAUUAGCUUGUUGGUGGGGUAACGGCUCACCAAGGCGACGAUCCCUAGCUGGUCUGAGAGGAUGACCAGCCACACUGGAACUGAGACACGGUCCAGACUCCUACGGGAGGCAGCAGUGGGGAAUAUUGCACAAUGGGCGCAAGCCUGAUGCAGCCAUGCCGCGUGUAUGAAGAAGGCCUUCGGGUUGUAAAGUACUU